AAUUUAAAAUUUUAUUAGUAAUUGAUUUUUAAAAGUAAUUAUUUGUUUGAGUAGUUUGUUGGAAAUAAUGUUUUAAUUUAUAGAUUAAUAGUACAGUGAUGGAUUAAUUAAAAAUUGUUGGAAGAAUAUUUAAUUUAUGGUACCUUUUGUAUCAGGGUUUAUUAAAAAGAGGUUUUAUUGUGAGUUUUCUCGAAUUUAUAAGAGCUAAGAAUAUAUAUAUAUUAAUGUAGAAUAAUUAUUUAUAAUAUAUUUUUUGCUAUUAGACGUUAGUCGAUUUUAAAUAUAUCUAGUUUUCUAAGAAAUUAAUUUAAUUAAGCUGGUUUAAUGAAUUGUUUUAAUGAAAAAUCAAUUUUUAGAUUAGGUAAUAUCUAAGGGGAUAAGCUUUUGGAUAAAUUUUUAUAAGAAUUUGUUUAUUGAAAGUUGAGUAGGAAUAGAAGUUUUCAUUUUUUGUAGUGUUUUAUAUCAAGACUUUUGAUUGAGUGAUUUGAUUGUUUUUAAAUUUUUUAUUAGAAUAUUAAGAGUAAUUGUGGGGUUUAAGGAAUAAUGAUGGAAUUAGUAUAAUUUAAUGUUUUAUGAAUUAGUAGGUGAAAGUUUUGAUUAAGUAAUUCGGCAAAUUUAUUUUCUGCCUGUUUAUUAAAAACAUGGCCUUUUGUGAAUAAUUUAAGGUCUGGCCUGCCCAAUGAUUUGGUUAAAUGGCCGCGGUACUCUGACCGUGCAAAGGUAGCAUAAUCAUUAGUUUUUUAAUUGAAAGCUGGUAUGAACGGUCGGACAAGAAAAUUACUGUCUCAGUUGAAUGGUUUUAGAAUUUUAUCUUUUAGUCAGAAGGCUAAAAUGAUUUUAAGGGACGAGAAGACCCUAUAGAAUUUUAUAAAUUUUAUUAGUUUGGAUUUUUGGGUAGGUUUUUUUGAUUUAAUAAUAUUUAUUUUGUUGGGGUGAUGGAAAAAUUUGAUAAACUUUUUUUAGUUGAAGUCAUUAAUUUAUGAUUGGAUGAUCCGUUUAUUACGAUUACAAGAUUAAAUUACCUUAGGGAUAACAGCGUUAUUAGUUUGGGGAGUUCUUAUCGAUAAACUAGUUUGCGACCUCGAUGUUGGAUUAAAAUAAACUUUUGGUGUAGGGGCUGGAAAGUUAAGUCUGUUCGACUUUUAAAAUUUUACAUGAUCUGAGUUUAAACCGGCGUGAGCCAGGUUGGUUUCUAUCUUUAGAAAAUUAUAAUAUUUUAGUACGAAAGGACCAAGUAUUAAUUUAAUAAGUUUAAUUUUGAAUAUUAUU
This 1269-nucleotide ribosomal RNA is filed under the name Dorcus hirticornis. RNAcentral's name for it is "16S ribosomal RNA". The stretch from base 1029 to 1187 matches the Rfam family "Archaeal large subunit ribosomal RNA", at positions 2542 to 2701 of the family's 2987-position model. Lineage: Eukaryota; Metazoa; Arthropoda; Insecta; Coleoptera; Lucanidae. The record is from RNAcentral.